GAGUAACACGUGGAUAACCUACCUGUAAGACUGGGAUAACUUCGGGAAACCGGAGCUAAUACCGGAUAAUAUAUUGAACCGCAUGGUUCAAUAGUGAAAGACGGUUUUGCUGUCACUUAUAGAUGGAUCCGCGCCGCAUUAGCUAGUUGGUAAGGUAACGGCUUACCAAGGCAACGACGCGUAGCCGACCUGAGAGGGUGAUCGGCCACACUGGAACUGAGACACGGUCCAG
RNAcentral lists this ribosomal RNA (232 nucleotides) under uncultured Staphylococcus sp. RNAcentral's name for it is "partial 16S ribosomal RNA". It matches the Rfam family "Bacterial small subunit ribosomal RNA", at positions 108 to 334 of the family's 1533-position model. The record is from RNAcentral. Lineage: Bacteria; Bacillati; Bacillota; Bacilli; Caryophanales; Staphylococcaceae.